Non-coding RNA from Ictidomys tridecemlineatus (thirteen-lined ground squirrel), 104 nucleotides. NCBI's taxonomy places the organism in Eukaryota, Metazoa, Chordata, Mammalia, Rodentia, Sciuridae. The record is from Rfam.
AUCGUUUUCUGAUUCCUAAGCAUGAUUAUUGGGAUUUUACAGCAGCCUGUGAGAUGUGUUUUCCUCAAAUCUUGUUAUAAUAUCAGUACAUUACUCGUCUGGCU